GAGGGUAUAGCUCAAGUGGUAGAGCACAUGCUUAGCAUGCACGAGGUCCUGGGUUCAAUCCCCAGUACCUCCU
Molecule: transfer RNA, 73 nt
Filed under: Camelus dromedarius (Arabian camel)
Lineage: Eukaryota; Metazoa; Chordata; Mammalia; Artiodactyla; Camelidae
Also listed under: 2 other names
Rfam family: tRNA
About the family: Transfer RNA (tRNA) molecules are approximately 80 nucleotides in length. Their secondary structure includes four short double-helical elements and three loops (D, anti-codon, and T loops). Further hydrogen bonds mediate the characteristic L-shaped molecular structure. tRNAs have two regions of fundamental functional importance: the anti-codon, which is responsible for specific mRNA codon recognition, and the 3' end, to which the tRNAs corresponding amino acid is attached (by aminoacyl-tRNA synthetases). tRNAs cope with the degeneracy of the genetic code in two manners: having more than one tRNA (with a specific anti-codon) for a particular amino acid; and 'wobble' base-pairing, i.e. permitting non-standard base-pairing at the 3rd anti-codon position.
Source: Rfam by way of RNAcentral